GCAAGGCUCACAACUUUGGUUGCUAUGGUUCAUGUAACCAUUUCCAGCAAUGAAAAACCCCCAGGAAUCGAGCCAUGGUCAAGAGUGGAAGUGUUCCGAGAAGAUUAAGAAAGAAUUACUGAAUGAUUUGAGGUUCGACGACUUCUAUUUCUGAACUUUCUGAAGUUGCAACUCACCGAUGCUGCAUGUGACCCAGAUCCCCUUCCUGACUCUCCCUCUCCUGGUCAAUAAAGCUCAGAUGGCGCCAGUCAUGGUGUUAGCGGGCUGAAAUUCUUCCUUCCAAUGAGAGAUGCAAUAAUGUGACCACAAGUGAUCUAUUAGCAUUUCCCCCCGUCGAAAUAUUUGGCGGUGAUUUCGUGCGUGCCGUAUUAUGUGAAGAUUCCUCGACCUGCAACUGUAGGAGGGCAAGAGUGAACUGCAAGCGAUAGAAGCAUUUUUGUGGGUUAUAACUUUGAAUUUACUGGUCGCCGUAGUGGCAUCACUAUUUUCCACUGAAAUUGAUCAGUUUUAACUGAGGGCACAUUCUUCCGUGAUCAUAGCGCAAGAAUACAGAAACUGCAAUAAUGAUACAUUUUAGCCAGUAAUGUCAGCUGCUUAUGCGCAUGUUGGCAGUUUUAGUAGGGUGUUUUCAUUGUUUUGUAGAGGUGAUAGAAGCAUGCGAUGAUCGUUUUCAAUCUCAGCAUAAUGUGAAUUUCCUCUCCUAAACUUGACUUGCAAUAUUAGCAAAUGUAAUGUGUAUCGUGGAAGUGAACUCUCCCCUCAUCCUGGUUUGGUAACCGAUAUAGUUGAAACAACUCCAAGUUCUUGGUCUCUUGAACCAUGACACCGUUAUACCAUGUACUUAGUGAUUCUGCUGCAAUAGAGGAACUACAGAAGCAUUCGCCAUCAACAUUGCAACGACCCUUGCGGGAUUUAGUUGCAAGUUUUGCAAAAUUGAGAAUCAGAGACGAAACAAUAUGACGUUGGAAAAAUUGGUUAGGAAUCGCCUUCGACAUCCCAGGGGCGUCGCUUUCAAGGCAUGAGGUUCAAAGUUGAAACUGUGACGUCCUGCGCCUGCAAACAAACCGAUAAAUGAGAGGAGGACUUGCAGGUUUAGAUGAGGAUGGGACGUUGAUCCAAGGUUGCUGUGUGACACCGAUCUCCACAUGGACCGACACAUUUCUAGUAACAGCACUACUGCAAUAACUAUCGACAGCUUUAAGUACAUUCAUGGCUGCUUUCACCCCGUGAUCAAAAUCCAGCGGUUACGUAGCUGGUUAAAGAUGUGAGAAAAUUUAACCCCAGCUGCGGUGAGUGGCCUUGUUCAGCUUUUCUCUGGCUUGCACCCCACAUAUGUCAUGCGCACCGCCCAAAAGAGUGUCUCGAUCGACGGGAUUUGGCGCAGUAAAGAUGAUAGGGUUGUGCUCGUGUGUUGCAUCAGACCCGUUUCUGGCUCUCGAGGACUGGACACGGAUAUGUGAAAUCUGCAGCUCAGGUGCUGUUGCUCAAUUCAGCUGGCGAUAGUUUUGUGCACAUUUUCUUUUGGGUGAAUUGAAUUGAGGAAAUGGGAAUCUAAUAUGAUCGUCCUCACUGCGGAUCUCGUCAUGAUCUGCAUGAGUGGAUUCGGGGGGGGGGGGGGGGGGGGAUGUCGACGUUGAAAUUUUACUGUGAGGAGUUGUGUGAAUAUCAUCAACUAAAGAAGUGUAAUACUGGAGAAAGUGGGCAUGCGGCGUUUCAAGAGAUUGAGAGCAAGAUAACGAUAACUACGCUUAGGAUUCAUCAAAAGUAAGGACCAAAACAAUCGGGAGCCGUGCCUCGUGAACCUCAAAUUCCCGAGAUCCGUGAAGAUGGCAUAGUGAACCGGUGCUGACAGGGACAAAGAGAAUGACCAGGGUUUGAUUGUAUCCCAAGGGUAAUAAGGUGAUGGAGACCUUGAUGAUUGGGCAGCGUCGCAGACCAAAGAAGACUCCCAAACCGAUGGGACGAGUGAUACAAACGACUUCCGGUUUGCACCCAACAGUUCUCUGGCUGAUGAGGCUCAAAAGUGGGCAUCUGACACCACUGUCUCUCGGGACGAAACACAGCCACAUGUGCAGCCUCGUCAGAAGCAGACAGCAACUGUACAGACUAAACAAACAUGUCAGUGACCAAAGCCCGAGCCAAUGAGCUCCAACGGCGUCUUUAUUGCAAUACCACUGAGUUCCAACUUCAUUGCAAUACCAAAGACGCUGUCAACCCACAGGUCGACUCAACCAGUGAAGUACUUCCUGAGGCAUUGCAAGCCAGGCUGGUCCAUGAACAAAGCCCCGGGUGAGAGCUGAGGAGCGUUGCAAGCCCGAGGGCGGGAGCUACGGACAGGAUGUGGAGGUUGCAGUCGCUGCUCACAGGCAAGUGAUGGUUGAACUGGACUUCACAGCACUCCACUUCAGUGCAGGGACUCGGAGUCAUCACUUUUGCCGAUUCAUGAUGUGGGGGUCAUCACAUUCGCGCACAGAUGGCUCUGGUGCUGGAAUCCAUCUCAGUUUCCUGCACCGACUAGGUCUGUGGUGCGGGACAAAUGGCAGCACUGAGGUGAGGUGAGGUAAAUUGAGGUGGGCAGGCAUUGGUUUGGAGUUGUGUCACUGCUUGAUAUGUUGCGUGCUUGACCCUUGUCGCUCUUUUUGUGAAACGUGAUUUCAUGUCCAGAAUGGUUGUGGUGACGGAGUCUAGAUUCGUGUGCCGCGGACACCGUGGCGUUGUUGUCUUUUGCUGCAGCAUUUCCUGUGCAAAGCGACAGCCAGUGUGAGUGCAUUGCGAAGCGCGAGAUGACGUGAGAUGAAGACGAGAACAUGCGAGCCGAGUGUGUGGCGGCGCUGUAACCACACCUUGAAUGUGCAGAUGCGAGACUCUGAGGUGGAGUUUGUGAGCAUGUGUGUCAAAGGUGGGGUUGCAAUGGCAGUGAUGAGCUGUUCGGACUUGCUUGUCCAUGCCCAGUGUGCUGUGGUAUGUUUUUGUCCUGAGUGAAGCAGGCAAGCGUGUGUGAAGACGUGAUGUCAUGUUGGGCAGAAGGAGGAAGGAUUUUAGUUCCACGACGUGAGUGUCGUGGCUAAUGAGAAUGUUGGAGAGGCAGAGCAACCUAGGUAUCCAGCCGGUUCAGCGAAUGCACCCGUUUCACGGAUGUAAGCGUCGAUGUGAGUGGUGGCGUGAAGAACAGUUGACCCACAGGGAUUGGAGAUGGAUGUUUGGGCGAGUAUGUUGUAUUGUCCUGGAGGACGGUCUAAUGUUUCUUCGGAGACAUCUGAUAAAAUUGGAACGAUACAGAGAAGAUUAGUAUGGCCCCUGCGCAAGGAUGACACGCACAAUUCGAGUAAUGGUCCUAAUUUUUUUUUUUCCUUUUCUCUGACCUUUCGCUGUUUCUUUCUUUCAUCGCUUGCCACUUCAGCCGCCUGGGUUUUCUUCUGAUAACGGCUGCUGUUCACAAACGUUGUUCUCCACUCCAGCACUUAUGUGAGGGUAGUUCAAUGUUCGUUGAACACCAACAGAUCUAACACCGACCUCUUCCAAUUGUACAAUGUUGUCCAAGCCAUGAGUUAGUUUCUCCUCGUUAAUACAUGCUUAUCAACAUUGCUUUGCAUUUUUUACAAUGUUGCCCAUUUGUGCACAUCUUUGCCCACAUUGUUCUUUUGUGUAUAAAUGUUUGAGUCAAUGCAUCCACAAGCUAUUUAUGUCACAUUUGAAGAAAGAAGUUUCAUGACUUAAUGUGGUAGAAGUUCAUACAAACACAAAG
Molecule: long non-coding RNA, 3745 nt
Filed under: Physcomitrium patens
Lineage: Eukaryota; Viridiplantae; Streptophyta; Bryopsida; Funariales; Funariaceae
Source: RNAcentral